UUUUCAGGUGUUCUAAGAACCGUUAAUUACAUUAACAAUCGGUAUCUUAGAUUGUAAAAAAAAAACUUCGCACCGCAAAGAUGAUCAAUGUUUCCACAAAUAACAUUUGAGUUCAAUUAUGAAUGGUCGUCGGGAGAGGACGGUAACGUGUAGACCUAUACAAAGUAGCAGUAGCAAGCUAAUGUGUAGGAAAAUGUAUAUGUGGUGCUUGGCAACAGUCCAGUCCCAGACCAGUUGGGGAACUAUGUGUGUUUGUGGAGCCAAAUAAAUGAUUAAAUAAAUAAACAAAUCAUAAUCUGCUGUCGCUUAUUACUGUUCACUAAUAAAUUGCGCUCGUAGAACUGUUGUAUAAAAGCAAUAUCACACUUGAGGUCGUGCUGUAAGGUCAUGAAGCCACCCGCUGCUGGACAAAGUGAAUCACUCAAUCACCAUGAUGAAGGCUUUACCAGAUAUGUUCCCAUCACCUGUGGUUCCACCGAAGAAUUUGGGACAUGCAAGUGAGGCAUCUUCCUUGAGUCUGCAGAAGACCCCAACACAUUUCUUCAGGCGAGCCCACUCUUCAGCCCUGUCGUGAUUGUCUGCAAAACCAACUGCGUACUGGCCAUUGGAACCAUGCCUGUGGUGACCUUCCCAAAAGAGGACAUCUAUGCCAGCGUGACGUACCUCAUGGCGUGUUAUUGCGCCUUUCACCUCACAUAUCCCAAGUGCAUUGCGACACUCCUCUCUGUGCUGCAGACAGAAGUCCAUCCACAACCGGGACAUGACUUCUGCAUAUAAAAAGGCUAUGGCCGAGUGGAAAAGUUCAUUACUAACUAGGGUUGCACAAUACAAUUAUUUUAUUUCCAGGCCCCAAGAACAGAACUGGGUGUAUUGGCCCAUCCGAGACCCAAUCCGAUAACCUUUAUUAAAUAGGCAGGGCGUUUGUUGUUUAUUAUAAGAAGGUUUAAAGCACUGUUACGUUUGUUAUCUUCCCAUUGGUCUUACGUUUUCACCUUGACCACCAAUGGCCUUUGAUGUUGUUGUUUUUGCAUCCUUCGUUCUGCUCCUAUCAGCCUCUGGAUAUACUGAGUCCUCAAUUAAGAAGUGAAAAGAAAUUAGAUUCAUUCUUUCUUUAAGCAAGCCAAUAUAAUUUCUAGUAGUAGUACGAGUACAUUUAUCUCAGUCAGAUUACUUAUUUUAAGCACAAUAUGCUAUUUUUAUGUAAAUUCCUGGGCAUAUUGACUUAUUUCAAGGCGAGUGCAAUAGCAUUGGAUUCUAAAUUUAAGCACAUUUUCCUACAUAUUGAGAAAAUAAUUCUCAAAUAUUUUCUUUAUAUCUAAACAAAUGUACUUGGUUUUAGUGUAGCUGUACUGGUUUUAAGCUAUAUUUACUCAGCACACAGCCUUAUUUCAAGAUGAUGGCACUGGCAUUUGCUACAUUUAAGCACAUUUUCCUAUACAUUGAGAAAAUAAUUAUUAAAUAUUUUCUUUAUAUCUAAACAAAUGUACUUGGUUUUAGUGUAGCUGUACUGGUUUUAAGCUAUAUUUACUCAGCACACAGCCUUAUUUCAAGAUGAUGGCACUGGCAUUUGCUACAUUUAAGCACAUUUUCCUAUACAUUGAGAAAAUAAUUAUUAAAUAUUUUCUUUAUAUCUAGACAAAUGUACUUGGUUUUAGUGUAGCUGUACUGGUUUUAAGAUAUAUUUACUCAGCAUACAGCCUUAUUUCAAGAUGAUGGCACUGGCAUUUGCUACAUUUAAGCACAUUUUCCUAUAUAUUGAGAAAAAUAUUCUUAAAUCUUUUCUUUGUAUCCAGACAAAUAGCUUGUUUUUAGUCUGAACGCACUAGGUUAAAGAUAUCUGUAUGUUCUUUGAGACUAGAUCUUUUUACUUGUUUAACAAAUCUUGGCAAGUUAAAUUGUCCUGUUUUGCUUAUUUUAAGUAAUAUUUCCUAAUUUUAUUGCUUUUUUUUCUUGUUUUGGGGAGCUGACUUUUUGCAGUGUAAAAUGUAAUUUGGAACGUGGAAAAUACUAUUGUUUAGGAUAUUGUAAACAUACUGUACUUUAAUAAUAGGCUAUAUUGUUGUAUGGGUGAAAUGAAAAGUAUUUUGUCAUCUCUGCUUUGCCUAGCCCCAUUGAGUAAAAAGC
Oncorhynchus keta (chum salmon) is the source of this 2124-nucleotide long non-coding RNA. RefSeq lists it as uncharacterized. Lineage: Eukaryota; Metazoa; Chordata; Actinopteri; Salmoniformes; Salmonidae. The record is from RefSeq and is a predicted model, not a curated record. The transcript has 3 exons.